Molecule: non-coding RNA, 2855 nt
Organism: Equus caballus (horse)
Lineage: Eukaryota; Metazoa; Chordata; Mammalia; Perissodactyla; Equidae
Source: RefSeq, a predicted model, not a curated record
GGGGGUCGCGCAGGCGCAGCGGGGCGGGGCGCGGGCCCAGAGAGCGCCGGGCGGCGGCGGCGCCAGAGCGGGUGGAGCGCUCGGGGUCCCCGGGUGGCGGCGGCGGCGGCGGCGGCGGCGGCGGCGGCGGCGGCGGCGGCGAGGAGGAGGAAGGCGGCCCCGGCCCGUCCCGCGCCCCCGACGCGGCCCCGGGCCCGUCCGCCGCCAUGGCCCGGCCGCUGGUGCCCAGCUCGCAGAAGGCGCUGCUGCUGGAGCUCAAGGGGCUGCAGGAGGAGCCGGUGGAGGGCUUCCGCGUGACGCUGGUGGACGAGGGCGACCUGUACAACUGGGAGGUGGCCAUCUUCGGGCCGCCCAACACCUACUACGAGGGCGGCUACUUCAAGGCGCGCCUCAAGUUCCCCAUCGACUACCCCUACUCCCCGCCGGCCUUCCGGUUCCUGACCAAGAUGUGGCACCCCAACAUCUACGAGACGGGGGACGUGUGCAUCUCCAUUCUCCACCCCCCCGUCGACGACCCCCAGAGCGGGGAGCUGCCCUCGGAGCGGUGGAACCCCACCCAGAACGUCAGCGUCGGCCGGACUCCGGGGCGGACGUGCCCACACCUGGCUCCCUGCUCCCCCAGGACCAUCCUCCUGAGCGUCAUCUCCCUCCUCAACGAGCCCAACACCUUCUCGCCGGCGAACGUGGACGCCUCGGUGAUGUACCGCAAGUGGAAGGAGAGCAAGGGCAGGGACCGCGAGUACACGGACAUCAUCCGGGUCCCCACAGCCCUUCACCUCGUGACUGAAGCCCCAGGAUCCCGUCUUCCUCUGCGCCCUCCCCCACGGGCAGCACCUCUCAGGACGCGGGGCCACUGUUGGCGUUUUGGCCCCAGUGUGUGUGUCCCACAGCCAGGCUGGGCUUGCUGUCAGCUUCUGGGUGCCACCUGACCCACAUCGGGGCAUGGGUGUGGUUGCGUAUUUGUGCAUGUGUAUGUGCACGUGCGUGUCUGCGUGCAUCUGCAGGUUUGCACUGUAUUGUUCGUGUGUGCACACCUGUGUUCACACAUGUCUGUGUUAAUGCGUGGGUUUGUGUGUUCAUGUCUUCAUGUGUGUUUGUGCAUGUGUGUUUGCAUGUUCAUGUGUGUCUGCGUGUUCGUGUGUCUGCCUGUUCAUGUGUGUGCAUGUGUAUCCCUCUGCUGGCUUCUGCUCCUUGGCUUGGCUUCAUGCCCCUCCUUCUGGGGAGGGUGUUUUUCGUGUCACUGAGACUGUGUUUUGCGUCAGUCUUUCUUCUCCAUGUGACAGUCCAUGGGCGUCAUUCACCUUCGUGAUUGUGAAACCCGGAGUCGUCUUUGGAGGCAGGAGGGUCAUGGUGUCGCACGUUUCAGUAACAGUUUCUCUUCUAAGGAGUAGCUUUUCUGGUGAUUAAGGCGACGGGUCACUGGGGUCUCGCUGGAACUGAGCCCCUCAUUCUAGUUGUUUCCUGUGUUUCCCUCACAAGCAAACGGGUGAAGGUCUUUGCUGAGGAUCUUGCGCUAGACGGUUCUCAGGGCGCAGGCGCCACCUCCUCGCUCGUGCCCCCCGCCCGCUGUCCCUGUUCAGCGCGGGGUCUGCUGGCGUCUUUUGAGACAAACUUAAUCCUUCGUUAGGUUUUUCCGACAUUGUCGGUUGUCGUUUGCCUUCAGUUAGGAAAGCGAACAAGCUAGACGCACCCCUGCCUCCUGACCCGGCCCCUCGAGGCCCACGCUGUGCCCACGGGAAGCCGAGGGUGUGUCCCCCCUGCGUCCACGCAGACAGUGAGGACACUUCGGGCCCCAGACGUUGGCGACAGCCCAGAGGCAUCAUGGGUGGAGGGUGAGGAGCCACGGCCUGUCCACGCCACGUCAGAGGGCCCCACCGUGGCACCGGAGUGGGGCUGGAAAGGCAAAGGGCCUGGGGGACGGUCUCUGGGAGACGCGGCCCAGCGCUCGGCGAGGAGGCGACAGACCCGAGCGACGGAGGGAGCACAUUCACAAGGGAGAAAAAUCUCAGACCAGAGCCAAGAAGACCCCACGGCCCCAGCCACUGAGGACGACGUCUAGGGUCUCCUUCCAGAUGUCCAGCCCUGGACCUCUCUCCUGGCCCAAUCACCCCCCUCCCCGACCUCUGACCCCUGACCUCACAUCUAGAGACACAGAGGACAGCCUCCCUAGGCCACUGCUCUCACUUGACCUUCGAGGCCCGUCCAUGGGGACUGACACACCUGCACCAUCCUGUCACACGGCGUGUGGCCCCACCAGUGCCCACCUCUGACACACGUGAGUGGGCAGGUGUGCACAUUACAGGCACACGCAUGUGGGCAGGUGUACACGGGUGAGCAGACAUGCACACGCAGACAGGGGCGCACGUGUGGACGGGCGUGGGGGUGUGUUGGGGUGACGGCUCCAUUCCCGGGUCUCUGUCUGCUCUGCAGGCCGCCACCCAUUUAUCCUGAAGUCCCGUUCCCCGGGGACGCGCUCUCGUCCCUCACAUGCCCUGUCGGGUGGUGUCUGCGUGUCUCACGGGAGCAGUUUCUGAACAACCGCGACGGUGCCUCGUGGUGACUGUGUCUGCUGCGCCCCACACACACGCCUGAGGGGCUCUCCUCUGCGUCCCCACCGUCCGGAGCGGCUGUCCUCCGUGCUGGGCGGUCAUGGCUGUCACUCUGGGGCCUGAACGGCUGUGAUGGACGUCCCUGCAGGUGGCGCUGGUCCCACUGGCUGUCCUGGGAGGAAGCAGGUCCUGGGGACCAAGGUGGACGCGGAGCGGGACGGCGUGAAGGUGCCCACCACGCUGGCCGAGUACUGCGUGCAGACCAAGGCGCCCGCGCCCGACGAGGGCUCAGACCUCUUCUACGAC